RNAcentral lists this ribosomal RNA (484 nucleotides) under uncultured bacterium. Its description in RNAcentral is "partial 16S ribosomal RNA". It matches the Rfam family "Bacterial small subunit ribosomal RNA", at positions 30 to 507 of the family's 1533-position model. The record is from RNAcentral.
AUUGAACGCUGGCGGCAGGCCUAACACAUGCAAGUCGAGCGGAUGAAGGGAGCUUGCUCCUGGAUUCAGCGGCGGACGGGUGGGUAAUGCCUAGGAGUCUGCCUGGUAGUGGGGGAUAACGUCCGGAAACGGGCGCUAAUACCGCAUACGUCCUGAGGGAGAACGUGGGGGAUCUUCGGACCUCACGCUAUCAGAUGAGCCUAGGUCGGAUUAGCUAGUUGGUGGGGUAAAGGCCUACCAAGGCGACGAUCCGUAACUGGUCUGAGAGGAUGAUCAGUCACACUGGAACUGAGACACGGUCCAGACUCCUACGGGAGGCAGCAGUGGGGAAUAUUGGACAAUGGGCGAAAGCCUGAUCCAGCAAUGCCGCGUGUGUGAAGAAGGUCUUCGGAUUGUAAAGCUCUGUUAGUUGGGAGGAAGGGCAGUAAGUGAAUACCUGGCUGUUUUGACGGUACCAAAAGAAUAAGCACCGGCUAACUUCGUG